GCGAAAGCAACAAGAUUCGCAUGUUCACUGAGGUAAGGUAACCAUUUGUUUCAGGUGUGAACAUGCCCAAGAUCUCAGGAUUGCAAGGUUCUGUGGAUUUAGUGUGCAAGGAUCUGCAGUUCUGUGGAAAUGUUGUGCAAGGAUCUGCAGUUCUGUGGAAUUAUUGUGCAAGGAUCUGCAGUUCUGUGGAUUUAGUGUGCAAGGAUCUGCAGUUCUUUGGAAGUGUUUUGCAAGGAUCUGCAGUUCUGUGGAUUUAUAGUGUGACCCGGAGGAUCUGGCGUUUUGGAUUUAUAUUGCGAGGAUCUGGUGUUCUGUGAGAUCACCUGUUUAAGGACCUCAUGUGGCCUACUUGAAGGAAUCAUCUUCACAUUCAGAUGUACUCGGAACCCAGAUGGAUGAAGGGAUAUUGUUAUAUGGGGAUCAGGAUAACUAGGGCUAUGGGAUCUGCUUUAUCCCUGCGUCCUAUAUGCAUCAAACUGGACUUUGGAAAUGGUCAUUCCUACAUCUGAUUUAGGACCACCUUCAACAGGACUAUGGGAUCUGCUUUAUCCCUGCGUCCUAUAUGCAUCAAACUGGACUUUGGAAAUGGUCAUCCCUACAUCUGAUUUAGGACCACUUUCAACAGGACUAUGGGAUCUGCUUUAUCCCUAUGUCUAUCAUUUCUCCAUCGAUCAUUUAGCGAGUGCACAAUGGUCUUUUCCACUGAGACUUUUUACAUAAAUGAUAGCCAACUAUUAGGGGACUGAAAAUUCACAGGGUAGGUUUUUAUUUCUAGCUCAGAGGGAUCUGUUAUAUCCCUCUGAAGACCGAGACUGUGGGAUCUCCUAUAUCCCCAUGUCAUUAGGGCUGAGGUGGGUGCGGUGAUAUAAACUGAACAUAAUUGGAGUUUAUUCCAAUUUGUGGGAUGUGCGGCAUUAACCAUGGAGUGUACUAGGGCUCCAAUGCGAGAUGUGCGGCUAUUAACCCAGUGCAUGGGGACAGACAUGGCUUUGUCAUGACCUGACAUGGCUUGUCAGUCUUCUUUUUAUCAAUGCGUACAGGUACUUGCAUCUCUGCAUAGGGCUUGGGUCAGCAUCUCUACAAGGUGUCUGUGGCAUGUUUGUAGCCAUGAAUCUAUCUUUUCAAACAUCGCUUCAUGCUGGCUCACUGGUGGCUUCAACUGGCAGAGAACCAGAAUAUAGCAUGAAAACGUAAUGUUUCCAGCGAGGAACAACCACACAGCUAGUACAAUCCUGACAUGGAUGACAGCAUUCAACAUGGCGAUGAUGGCAAUGCUAGCAAGGACUUGGUACUUCUCUACUCUCUGUUUUCAAAGUUUUCAUUCAGGGACAACCACAGGGUUACAUUCGUGAUAUGAGAUGGCAGCAUCAGCAUGAUAGCAGCAAUGCCAGGACAGUACCCCACAUCAAGGCAUCAACUUUGGACUUCUGCAUCACUACAUAGCUGCCACUUUUUAAAGCCUCAACUUAUCACCUUCAUAUUUAUCCUCACUUUGAUACAUUCACACUCGACUUCACCGUAUUCACCCCUCACUUUAUUACCACGGCAACUCUCAUGUUCACAUCCACUUCACCACUUUCACAUCUACCAGACUUAUUCCCACUUUAGCACCAUUCACCCUCACUUUCACCACAUUCACCUUUACCACCACGCUGGCAGCAAACAUCAAGUUGUCUACUCUGAGCUGCUGCAUUGCUUCCAGCCUGGAAUCUUGUCUCCCAAUGUGGUCAUUUCAUCACCUGUCUGAGAUCAGUUGAGGUGGACUGCAUACACUUACAGCAUAAAGGUUCCUGCUACACCUUCUGGGCAGGUCCAUGAGAAAGAGAUUCAUGAGGAUUGGUCUUUUUGGAAGAGUCAAAACCACUAACAAGAUUGAUGCCAAGAGGCUUUGCAGCUGAGUGAUAUCAACCGUGGUGCCAAUGCAUAAAUUCCCAGUCUUCAUAGACCUGGUCCCUAAUGCCCACUGUUGUUGGUCUUGCAACAAGCCUGAGCCCUGAAUCCAAUGCUUAGAUCCAUAGCCAGGAACUUCAACUUGGAUUUCUGUGGCAGAGCAAGCAACAGACUUGGAGUGACCAUGCUAGACUUCUUGGAAACCAUUCCUGGAAGUCUUUCUGCAGCAUUGACUAGAACUUUUCAUCGCCAAACUGGUUUAUUUGUAAAUUGUCUGUCUUUGUGAAAAACAAUCUUUGAUUCAUCAAAGUGUGUUUCUGAGUAAUAAACAGUUGAAUAUAACAUCCUAAUAUUUAGGCCUAUGCUGACAUUUUGUACUUUUUCUGGUACAUAGUUGAUCUGGAAAGGCAUUAUUGAAUGAGAAUGGUUCAGUGCGGCCACUCUACAAGUUGCAUAUUCCGACAAAAGAAAUAUAUACACUAGCCCUCAUCCCCAAGUGUGUUUCAUUUUGAAAUUGGAGGAUUGAGGAUAGUUUCGACUUGAUCAUUACUUGCUGGGAUUUCUUCAAUCUAAAGAUUACUGAAAAUGGUUUGUUUAAAAGCAAGUUCAGUUGCAGCCAUACUUUGAAUUCACAUUGGAUUUUUCCUACAUGACAUCAUUACAGCGCCCUCAUUUUCCAGCCCCCAAACUACCGUCUUUCAGGUUUUGCUGAAUGUUUAUAAUUACUGCUUUAUAUAUGAAUAAUUUAUCAACUUAUUUUAUAGGCAAGAACUUCCCCAUGUUUCUUGAAAUUUGUGUUCACACAUCCAAGAUUCAGAAAAGCCAAAACUUGAGUUUGAAAUGCCAGCUUCAAAGAAGAUUGGACUUUUUAAAUAGUAAAACUGAGAAUAUUAAGCUAAUUGCUUCUUCCAUGAUGUUUGAAGUACCAAUUUACUUUUAACCAUGAUGGCUUAAAACUUCCUUACUUUUUGCCAAUAUUUUACUUGAGGAACAAGUGCAUUACCUCUUUCCCUUUUAUAAGACUUGAGAUAGCCUGUUGAACUUUUGGUUUUUUUUGUUUUAACUCUUGUUUUAAAUGCUUUAUUUGAAUGAAAGGUUCACUUCGCUUUCCCCGUAACUUCCUUUUAGUUCCCAAAUGUGAAAUAAUUUCCAGUUUAUAAUUUAGAAUUACUCAACAGUAUUUGGCCCACUGCAUCUUCAUUCCUGCUUCUAUGCAGUAAUCAGAUAGGAACAUUUUCAAAAUUAUUAAUUUUUAAAAGAAUUAAUAAAAAAAGAUCAUGUUCACUUGUAGAGAUCCUCUGAAUAAAAGAAGGGCUGCUUUCCUCAAA
Acanthaster planci (crown-of-thorns starfish) is the source of this 3218-nucleotide long non-coding RNA. RefSeq lists it as uncharacterized. Lineage: Eukaryota; Metazoa; Echinodermata; Asteroidea; Valvatida; Acanthasteridae. The record is from RefSeq and is a predicted model, not a curated record.